GGUGAACGCUGGCGGCGGGCCUAAUACAUGCAAGUCGAGCGAACAGAUAAUGAGCUUGCUCCUUUGACGUUGGCGGCGGACGGGUGAGUAACGCAUGGGUAACCUACCUCUAAUACUGGGAUAACUUCGGGAAACCGGAGCUGCUAACGGCGCACAUUUCGAACCGCAUAAUUCUAAAGUUAAACGUGGCUUUGCUGUCACUUAUAGAUGGAGCCGCGUCGUAUUAGCUAGUUGGUAAGGUAACGGCUUACCAAGGCGACGAUCCGUAGCUGACCUGAGAGGGUGAUCGGCCACACUGGGACUGAGACACGGUCCAGACUCCUACGGGAGGCAGCAGUAGGGAAUCUUGCGCAAAGGGCGCAAGCCUGACCGAGCCACGCCGCGUGAGUGAUGAAGGGUUUCGGCUCGUAAAACUCUGUUAUUAGGGAAGAACAAAUGUGUAAGAAUCUGUGCACGUCUUGACGGUACCCAAUCAGAAAGCAACGGCUAACUACGUG
RNAcentral lists this ribosomal RNA (497 nucleotides) under uncultured bacterium. Its description in RNAcentral is "partial 16S ribosomal RNA". It matches the Rfam family "Bacterial small subunit ribosomal RNA", at positions 28 to 507 of the family's 1533-position model. The record is from RNAcentral.